Molecule: long non-coding RNA, 584 nt
Organism: Rana temporaria (common frog)
Lineage: Eukaryota; Metazoa; Chordata; Amphibia; Anura; Ranidae
Exons: 3
Source: RefSeq, a predicted model, not a curated record
UAUGUCCAUUAUGCGGGGUAGAGGCUGGAGACUGCUACUAACCUAUGAGCGGCUCCCCAGAGGUAUGGCCCUGGUUCUUAUUGGCAUUUUCGCCAUGUAAGUCUCCACUGUAACCACUACUGCAAUCCCCUUGUUUUUACCCAUAGAUGCUAACCAACCUGUUUUCCACAGUCAUAUGGUUUGCAAUAUCUAUCUUUACACAUACCGUUUACCCACUGUAUGUUUAUUUACCAUUGCAAUUGGUUACCCCCUACCUCCAUCAUGCCUCUACCCACGCAGUACUAUUUAUUAUCAUUUGUUUUGGCAAUCCAUCCCCAUUUAUCGAAGAUCCUCGCAUAUUCCCCCCAGUCCACCGCACAGGGUAUAUUGCUCCGGCGGGUUGGUGCCACGCAUGACCACCAUAUAUGGCGGAAUGAUUCUCCUGAAGAAGUGGUCAAACCACGAAACUAGUCGAGACUCAGAUCAUUCCAUAUGGUUGUAAAUUACAGAAAUUGCCUCGAGUUAUCUUAGGCCUCUGUUUUUUCAAUUUUAAUCAUGUAUUUAUUGUACAAUCCUUUAUGUAAUAAAUUUCUUUUUAAAUUAUA